UGGGGAAUUUUGCACAAUGGGGGAAACCCUGAUGCAGCGACGCCGCGUGAUUUAGAAGGCCUUCGGGUUGUAAAAAUCUUUUCUAUGGGAAGAAAAUGACAGUACCAUAGGAAUAAGGACCGGCUAAUUACGUGCCAGCAGCCGCGGUAAUACGUAAGGUCCGAGCGUUGUCCGGAAUCAUUGGGCGUAAAGGGUACGUAGGCGGGUAAGCAAGUUAGAAGUGAAAUCCUAUAGCUCAACUAUAGUAAGCUUUUAAAACUGCUCAUCUUGAGGUAUGGAAGGGAAAGUGGAAUUCCUAGUGUAGCGGUGAAAUGCGCAGAUAUUAGGAGGAAUACCGGUGGCGAAGGCGACGUUCUGGCCAUAGCCUGACGCUGAGGUAAGAAAGCGUGGGUAGCAAACAGG
RNAcentral lists this ribosomal RNA (402 nucleotides) under bacterium. RNAcentral describes it as "partial 16S ribosomal RNA". It matches the Rfam family "Bacterial small subunit ribosomal RNA", at positions 355 to 776 of the family's 1533-position model. The record is from RNAcentral.